CUAUCAUUAGUCUUUAUUGGCUACGUAGGUUCAAAUCCUACAUCAUCCG
Molecule: transfer RNA, 49 nt
Filed under: Saccharomyces cerevisiae (brewer's yeast)
Lineage: Eukaryota; Fungi; Ascomycota; Saccharomycetes; Saccharomycetales; Saccharomycetaceae
Description: partial transfer RNA
Source: RNAcentral